This 484-nucleotide ribosomal RNA is filed under the name uncultured bacterium. RNAcentral describes it as "partial 16S ribosomal RNA". It matches the Rfam family "Bacterial small subunit ribosomal RNA", at positions 30 to 507 of the family's 1533-position model. The record is from RNAcentral.
AUUGAACGCUGGCGGCAGGCCUAACACAUGCAAGUCGAGCGGAUGAAGGGAGCUUGCUCCUGGAUUCAGCGGCGGACGGGUGAGUAAUGCCUAGGAAUCUGCCUGGUAGUGGGGGAUAACGUCCGGAAACGGGCGCUAAUACCGCAUACGUCCUGAGGGAGAAAGUGGGGGAUCUUCGGACCUCACGCUAUCAGAUGAGCCUAGGUCGGAUUAGCUAGUUGGUGGGGUAAAGGCCUACCAAGGCGACGAUCCGUAACUGGUCUGAGAGGAUGAUCAGUCACACUGGAACUGAGACACGGUCCAGACUCCUACGGGAGGCAGCAGUGGGGAAUAGUGGACAAUGGGCGAAAGCCUGAUCCAGCCAUGCCGCGUGUGUGAAGAAGGUCUUCGGAUUGUAAAGCACUUUAAGUUGGGAGGAAGGGCAGUAAGUUAAUACCUUGCUGUUUUGACGUUACCAACAGAAUAAGCACUGGCUAACUUCGUG